This 2156-nucleotide ribosomal RNA is filed under the name human gut metagenome. RNAcentral describes it as "bacterial LSU rRNA". It matches the Rfam family "Bacterial large subunit ribosomal RNA", at positions 320 to 2463 of the family's 2925-position model. The record is from RNAcentral.
GUGUGUGUGUUAGUGGAAGCGUCUGGAAAGGCGCGCGAUACAGGGUGACAGCCCCGUACACAAAAAUGCACAUACUGUGAGCUCGAUGAGUAGGGCGGGACACGUGGUAUCCUGUCUGAAUAUGGGGGGACCAUCCUCCAAGGCUAAAUACUCCUGACUGACCGAUAGUGAACCAGUACCGUGAGGGAAAGGCGAAAAGAACCCCGGCGAGGGGAGUGAAAAAGAACCUGAAACCGUGUACGUACAAGCAGUGGGAGCACGCUUCGGCGUGUGACUGCGUACCUUUUGUAUAAUGGGUCAGCGACUUAUAUUCUGUAGCAAGGUUAACCGAAUAGGGGAGCCGAAGGGAAACCGAGUCUUAACUGGGCGUUAAGUUGCAGGGUAUAGACCCGAAACCCGGUGAUCUAGCCAUGGGCAGGUUGAAGGUUGGGUAACACUAACUGGAGGACCGAACCGACUAAUGUUGAAAAAUUAGCGGAUGACUUGUGGCUGGGGGUGAAAGGCCAAUCAAACCGGGAGAUAGCUGGUUCUCCCCGAAAGCUAUUUAGGUAGCGCCUCGUGAAUUCAUCUCCGGGGGUAGAGCACUGUUUCGGCAAGGGGGUCAUCCCGACUUACCAACCCGAUGCAAACUGCGAAUACCGGAGAAUGUUAUCACGGGAGACACACGGCGGGUGCUAACGUCCGUCGUGAAGAGGGAAACAACCCAGACCGCCAGCUAAGGUCCCAAAGUCAUGGUUAAGUGGGAAACGAUGUGGGAAGGCCCAGACAGCCAGGAUGUUGGCUUAGAAGCAGCCAUCAUUUAAAGAAAGCGUAAUAGCUCACUGGUCGAGUCGGCCUGCGCGGAAGAUGUAACGGGGCUAAACCAUGCACCGAAGCUGCGGCAGCGACACUAUGUGUUGUUGGGUAGGGGAGCGUUCUGUAAGCCUGUGAAGGUGUACUGUGAGGUAUGCUGGAGGUAUCAGAAGUGCGAAUGCUGACAUAAGUAACGAUAAAGCGGGUGAAAAGCCCGCUCGCCGGAAGACCAAGGGUUCCUGUCCAACGUUAAUCGGGGCAGGGUGAGUCGACCCCUAAGGCGAGGCCGAAAGGCGUAGUCGAUGGGAAACAGGUUAAUAUUCCUGUACUUGGUGUUACUGCGAAGGGGGGACGGAGAAGGCUAUGUUGGCCGGGCGACGGUUGUCCCGGUUUAAGCGUGUAGGCUGGUUUUCCAGGCAAAUCCGGAAAAUCAAGGCUGAGGCGUGAUGACGAGGCACUACGGUGCUGAAGCAACAAAUGCCCUGCUUCCAGGAAAAGCCUCUAAGCAUCAGGUAACAUCAAAUCGUACCCCAAACCGACACAGGUGGUCAGGUAGAGAAUACCAAGGCGCUUGAGAGAACUCGGGUGAAGGAACUAGGCAAAAUGGUGCCGUAACUUCGGGAGAAGGCACGCUGAUAUGUAGGUGAAGCGACUUGCUCGUGGAGCUGAAAUCAGUCGAAGAUACCAGCUGGCUGCAACUGUUUAUUAAAAACACAGCACUGUGCAAACACGAAAGUGGACGUAUACGGUGUGACGCCUGCCCGGUGCCGGAAGGUUAAUUGAUGGGGUUAGCGGUAACGCGAAGCUCUUGAUCGAAGCCCCGGUAAACGGCGGCCGUAACUAUAACGGUCCUAAGGUAGCGAAAUUCCUUGUCGGGUAAGUUCCGACCUGCACGAAUGGCGUAAUGAUGGCCAGGCUGUCUCCACCCGAGACUCAGUGAAAUUGAACUCGCUGUGAAGAUGCAGUGUACCCGCGGCAAGACGGAAAGACCCCGUGAACCUUUACUAUAGCUUGACACUGAACAUUGAGCCUUGAUGUGUAGGAUAGGUGGGAGGCUUUGAAGUGUGGACGCCAGUCUGCAUGGAGCCGACCUUGAAAUACCACCCUUUAAUGUUUGAUGUUCUAACGUUGGCCCGUUAUCCGGGUUGCGGACAGUGUCUGGUGGGUAGUUUGACUGGGGCGGUCUCCUCCUAAAGAGUAACGGAGGAGCACGAAGGUUGGCUAAUCCUGGUCGGACAUCAGGAGGUUAGUGCAAUGGCAUAAGCCAGCUUGACUGCGAGCGUGACGGCGCGAGCAGGUGCGAAAGCAGGUCAUAGUGAUCCGGUGGUUCUGAAUGGAAGGGCCAUCGCUCAACGGAUAAAAGG